GUGGGGAAUAUUGGGCAAUGGGCGAAAGCCUGACCCAGCGACGCCGCGUGAGGGAAGAAGGCCUUAGGGUCGUAAACCUCUGUUGUGUGGGAAGAAGGAAGUGACGGUACCACACGAGGAAGUCCCGGCUAACUACGUGCCAGCAGCCGCGGUAAUACGUAGGGGACGAGCGUUGUCCGGAAUUACUGGGCGUAAAGGGCGCGUAGGCGGUCAUUUAAGUCAGCUGUGAAAUGGUCCGGCUCAACCGGAUCAUGCGGUUGAAACUGGAUGACUGGAGUGCGGGAGAGGCAAGUGGAAUUCCCAGUGUAGCGGUGAAAUGCGUAGAUAUUGGGAAGAACACCGGUGGCGAAGGCGACUUGCUGGCCAGCAACUGACGCUGAGGCGCGAAAGCCAGGGGAGCAAACGGGAUUAGAAACCCCGGUAGUCC
Molecule: ribosomal RNA, 427 nt
Filed under: uncultured bacterium
Lineage: Bacteria
Description: partial 16S ribosomal RNA
Rfam family: Bacterial small subunit ribosomal RNA
Source: RNAcentral